GCUCCUUCUCCAGCAAAGUGUUGCUAUUCUGACCACGAUCUAUCCUUCUAUAUGAUACAACCCUAUCUGAUGAUUGCAAUCCUUUAUUUCCUCACCCAACAGCUUUUUGAUAAUGCUGAAAAUGACUUUCCCCCGUUCAGCAAAGAAAUUAGCUUUGAAUUACCUUGAUUUCAAUUGCAAUUGUGACCUUUAGAUGACGUUGAAGAAUUUAGAUGAUCAUCUUCGAUUUUGAUUUUUGAUUCAUA
This 245-nucleotide long non-coding RNA is filed under the name Nicotiana benthamiana. RNAcentral's name for it is "long non-coding RNA (NBEN_LNC033701)". Lineage: Eukaryota; Viridiplantae; Streptophyta; Magnoliopsida; Solanales; Solanaceae. The record is from RNAcentral.